RNAcentral lists this ribosomal RNA (445 nucleotides) under uncultured bacterium. RNAcentral's name for it is "partial 16S ribosomal RNA". It matches the Rfam family "Bacterial small subunit ribosomal RNA", at positions 354 to 796 of the family's 1533-position model. The record is from RNAcentral.
GUAAGGAAUAUUGGUCAAUGGACGAAAGUCUGAACCAGCCAUGCCGCGUGAAGGAUGAAGGCCCUCUGGGUUGUAAACUUCUUUUAUCUGGGACGAAAAAAGGGUAUUCUUACUCACUUGACGGUACCAGAGGAAUAAGCACCGGCUAACUCCGUGCCAGCAGCCGCGGUAAUACGGAGGGUGCAAGCGUUAUCCGGAUUCACUGGGUUUAAAGGGUGCGUAGGUGGGUAUUUAAGUCAGUGGUGAAAUCUCCGAGCUUAACUCGGAAACUGCAAUUGAUACUAUUUACCUUGAAUGCCCUGGAGAUAAGCGGAAUAUGUCAUGUAGCGGUGAAAUGCUUAGAUAUGACAUAGAACACCAAUUGCGAAGGCAGCUUACUACGGGGUGAUUGACACUGAGGCACGAAAGCGUGGGGAGCAAACAGGAUUAGAAACCCGAGUAGUCC